RNAcentral lists this long non-coding RNA (509 nucleotides) under Phoenix dactylifera (date palm). Its description in RNAcentral is "long non-coding RNA (PDAC_LNC010454)". The record is from RNAcentral. Lineage: Eukaryota; Viridiplantae; Streptophyta; Magnoliopsida; Arecales; Arecaceae.
UCUUCCCCUGUUCUGAAACAAAGCUAACAACCGUAUCCCCUUUUCCGUGAGCCAAUCCACAUCUUUCCCAACUCCUCCCGCGAUGCAAAACCAAUCUCCCCAGCAUCUAGAUCUCAUCCCAUUCGGAACGGAAUUCCAUCGCCCAUGGAUUAAGCCCAUCCUCUCCGCAUCUUCAGCCGUAUGCACCAAUCAUGCAUCCACACCAUCCCCUAUUUUCCAGCCAUGCCGAGCAUCACGGAAGAAGCUCACGCGUGCAUGAUCCACAUCGUCCGCAGUCCAAGGAUUUCCUCCCAGCCGGAUGAGCAUCCAAACUUCUUCCCCUCUGCGUGAAACAGCAUGAUCCUAUCACCUCCCAGAUCCCCCAGCUCUCAUCUCGUUCCCAGUUCAUUCCCAUCUCCACGGAUAAGCUCCCAGCCAACUCAUCUUUACCGGAUCUCCUGUUACAACAAAACAAAACAUGAGAUUAUCCUCACAGGUUGUUCAAGCGAUCGGGACUAGAGCCAGCAGAG